RNAcentral lists this unclassified non-coding RNA (350 nucleotides) under soil metagenome. RNAcentral's name for it is "partial contains 5.8S ribosomal RNA, internal transcribed spacer 2, and large subunit ribosomal RNA". The stretch from base 1 to 120 matches the Rfam family "5.8S ribosomal RNA", at positions 35 to 154 of the family's 154-position model. The record is from RNAcentral.
GAUGAAGAACGUAGUGAACUGCGAUAAGUAAUGUGAAUUGCAGAAUUCAGUGAAUCAUCGAGUCUUUGAACGCACAUUGCGCCCCCUGGCAUUCCGGGGGGCAUGCCUGUCCGAGCGUCAUUGCUGCCAUUCAAGCCCGGCUUGUGUGUUGGGUCGUCGUCCCCCCCGGGGGACGGGCCCGAAAGGCAGCGGCGACACCGCGUCCGGUCCUCGAGCGUAUGGGGCUUUGUCACCCGCUCGAUUAGGGCCGGCCGGGCGCCAGCCGGCGUCUCCAACCUUCUAUUUUACCAGGUUGACCUCGGAUCAGGUAGGGAUACCCGCUGAACUUAAGCAUAUCAAUAAGCGGAGGA